This 460-nucleotide ribosomal RNA is filed under the name uncultured bacterium. RNAcentral's name for it is "partial 16S ribosomal RNA". It matches the Rfam family "Bacterial small subunit ribosomal RNA", at positions 338 to 795 of the family's 1533-position model. The record is from RNAcentral.
CCUACGGGUGGCAGCAGUGAGGAAUAUUGGUCAAUGGACGAGAGUCUGAACCAGCCAAGUAGCGUGAAGGAUGACUGCCCUAUGGUUUGUAAACUUCUUUUAUAUGGGAUUAAAACAGGGUAUGCAUACCCUCUUGUAUGUACCAUAUGAAUAAGGAUCGGCUAACUCCGUGCCAGCAGCCGCGGUAAUACGGAGGAUCCGAGCGUUAUCCGGAUUUAUUGGGUUUAAAGGGAGCGUAGGGGGAUGUUUAAGUCAGUGGUAAAAUGUUCGGGGCUAAACCGGGCCGGGCGGUUGAACUGGGGGAUCUUGAGUGGGCGAGAGGUAGGCGGAAUGCGUGGUGUAGCGGGGAAAUGCAUAGAUAUCACGAAGAACUCCGAUUGCGAAGGCAGCUUACUGGCCCCUAACUGACGCUGAGGCACGAAAGCGUGGGUAUCAAACAGGAUUAGAUACCCUUGUAGUC